This is a non-coding RNA of Podarcis muralis (Common wall lizard), 152 nucleotides long. The record is from RefSeq and is a predicted model, not a curated record. NCBI's taxonomy places the organism in Eukaryota, Metazoa, Chordata, Lepidosauria, Squamata, Lacertidae.
GGAAAACAAACAGGACAAGUGGGAUUUGUUCUUGUUCAUGCUUCGUGGUCUUGUUGAGCAUGGAUUAAUGGCAGAUACGGAGAUACAGUGCUGUUUGCAUGACCUCCAGAAACUGCCUUGGCCUUCGGACUUCUCCAAGGAACUAGAAGCCA